Panthera uncia (snow leopard) is the source of this 377-nucleotide long non-coding RNA. RefSeq lists it as uncharacterized. Lineage: Eukaryota; Metazoa; Chordata; Mammalia; Carnivora; Felidae. The record is from RefSeq and is a predicted model, not a curated record. The transcript has 4 exons.
AGGAUGUUGAAUUCCCCGCCACGCUGCUGCCGGGCUUUGUUGGUAAACUGGACUACUACGGACUGGGCGACUAGUGAGGUUAGGAGGAAAGUUCAUAAUGUAUCAUUUCCUUCGGGACUGCUUUCAAGGUGAUGGAUUCUAGUAGUCUGAGGUGAAGGAAUCGAUUUCCAACUUUAGUUUUUGGAGACCGAAGUGAAAAUGACGUUAUCCUCUUGACUACUGGACAGCACUACAUGGGUCACUCCUGAGGAAUGUCUACCCUUGGACUAGUGAAAACAGCUAAUGUUAAGACAGGCAAAUAGAGAAUUCCACUUUUCUCUCAGAUUGACCACUAGGAGGUGCUCAACAUGAAGAAUAAAAAGCAGAGGGCAGCCCAU